AACGAACGCUGGCGGCAGGCCUAACACAUGCAAGUCGAGCGAGCAUUUCGGUGCUAGCGGCGGACGGGUGAGUAACGCGUGGGAACGUGCCCUUUUCUGCGGAAUAGUCCUGGGAAACUGGGGGUAAUACCGCAUACGCCCUUUUGGGGAAAGAUUUAUCGGAGAAGGAUCGGCCCGCGUUGGAUUAGGUAGUUGGUGGGGUAAUGGCCCACCAAGCCGACGAUCCAUAGCUGGUUUGAGAGGAUGAUCAGCCACACUGGGACUGAGACACGGCCCAGACUCCUACGGGAGGCAGCAGUGGGGAAUCUUAGACAAUGGGGGCAACCCUGAUCUAGCCAUGCCGCGUGAGUGAUGAAGGCCUUAGGGUUGUAAAGCUCUUUCAGCUGGGAAGAUGAUGACGGUACCAGCAGAAGAAGCCCCGGCUAACUCCGUG
This 433-nucleotide ribosomal RNA is filed under the name uncultured bacterium. Its description in RNAcentral is "partial 16S ribosomal RNA". It matches the Rfam family "Bacterial small subunit ribosomal RNA", at positions 29 to 507 of the family's 1533-position model. The record is from RNAcentral.